This 116-nucleotide ribosomal RNA is filed under the name Pteropus alecto (black flying fox). Lineage: Eukaryota; Metazoa; Chordata; Mammalia; Chiroptera; Pteropodidae. The record is from RNAcentral.
CCCUACGGUCAUGCCACGCUGAAAAAGCCCAAUGUCUGAUCUUGGAAGCUAAGCAGGGUCAGGCCUGGUUAGUACUUGGAUGGGAGACCACCUAGGGAGAUCAGGUGCUGUAGGCA